AUCUUUCAAGUUUAUCUAGAAGGGUCUCGCUUCCGAAGUCGGAGGCGAGUGCCCAAC
Molecule: small nuclear RNA, 57 nt
Filed under: Psammechinus miliaris (sand urchin)
Lineage: Eukaryota; Metazoa; Echinodermata; Echinoidea; Camarodonta; Parechinidae
Source: RNAcentral